UGCGCAUAUUCUUUGAGGAGAAAAGGAAAAAAAAUAAGAAUAAGAGAAAGAGAUAAAUGCAAGAGUUCUAUCGGAAGAAGCAAUUGAAACCAGAGACAUGCAAGAGUAGGCCACCUCUCUCUCCUUAUCCCUUGGGGACAGGAGUCCGCCACACUUGCAGCUGGCUUGUUGAUGACGGGUCAUGGAGCUGUCAACCUCAUCCCACUAAUUCUGCAUGACAUCUUUAGUAGGUUGAUUUGAGCUGAUAUCAAGUUAUAUUUCAGUGAUCAUUCAGCUGAAACAUUAAGCUUAAACAGCAUAUUCAGAUACAGAAGACCAUUGAGAUGUUUGAGGUGUGUGUUGAGAGAAACAACAAUAUAUGAGAAUGAAGAACACAACUGGCUGGUUUGCCAGUGGAUAAAGUUUGGAGUCGACAUCGAGGAUGCAGGUCUGCUACGACACCACAAAAGACUAUUGACUUAUUUUGAGGUCAGUAUCGACUGCUUGAUCUAUCCACACCCGACAUUGGUCAUCCUGCAACAGCUUUUUCUACCUCAAAAGACUCGAAUUCUUUCCUGGAUAACGGCAUACAAAGAAAUCUUUCUCAAAAUCUACAAGAUUUUGACCAGAUUGCUUGACAUGAAGUAAACAGGAGUAAUUUGGGUUAAGAAAUGCAGGUACUCAAUUAUUUGUCAAUCUCAA
Molecule: long non-coding RNA, 681 nt
Filed under: Musa acuminata (dwarf banana)
Lineage: Eukaryota; Viridiplantae; Streptophyta; Magnoliopsida; Zingiberales; Musaceae
Description: long non-coding RNA (MACU_LNC003840)
Source: RNAcentral